Harpia harpyja (harpy eagle) is the source of this 778-nucleotide long non-coding RNA. RefSeq lists it as uncharacterized. The transcript is spliced from 3 exons. The record is from RefSeq and is a predicted model, not a curated record. NCBI's taxonomy places the organism in Eukaryota, Metazoa, Chordata, Aves, Accipitriformes, Accipitridae.
GAGAGUACUCUGCUUUUACACGUGGUCAGGUCUGAAAGCUUACGCCAGGCACACCAGGGUACUGAAGCAAUUCACUGCAGAUGGGCUCUCUUCUCUUGGUAACUGAAACUUUGCCAUUGCAAAAUUGUCACUCUGAUCGACUACUUUUAGAGAACAUGUGAGAGAAUUCAAUUGGAAGAAAAUGCGACUGAACAGAGACAUAGUUGAUUCAGGGGUGAAGUGAAAGCAUGUUAACUGUGCAGUGCUGAAUGGAUAAACUAUGUGACCUGACAUUCCCGGUACCUGAGUUGCUGCCAUGAAGUGUUUCACCUCAUGAUAACUUCUUGACUUGCAAAUGAAGAUGCAGCUUUGAAAAGCACAGACCUGUUUCCAGCCAUUGGCAGGGUCCCACUUUUCAGUACUCUAUUACCUUCUCAGAAGUACAGACUCGUAAGAAAUGAGAACAUCACCAUCAUAGAUUAAACCUGAUCCAACAGCUGUUGAAGACACUUCUCUCCUCAUCUCAUCUGCUAAAACUCUCCUAUCACUCUAUACUAUCAAUAUGGAGAAAGGUAGAUACUUCUAGAAGGUGAAUAAUUCUACCAGACUUUGUUAUCCAUCUUCAGAUGACCCUCAGAAAGUGCUGAUUUCUCUCUAUUACUGUUAUAGUGUGCUCAGAAAAACAGCUUUGACCAGAUGCAUCAGAUUAAAUUAAUCCCAUGCUAAGUAUCUCCUUUGUCUUCAGUGGGAAAUACUUGGGUUUGUGGCUUGUUUAGAAUUCUGAAAUGUAACAUGAAAU